GGAAGCGUGGCCGAGCGGUUUAAGGCACCGGUCUUGAAAACCGGCGACGGGCAACUGUCCGUGAGUUCGAAUCUCACCGCUUCCGCCA
RNAcentral lists this transfer RNA (88 nucleotides) under Burkholderia sp. RNAcentral describes it as "tRNA-Ser(tga)". It matches the Rfam family "tRNA". Rfam says of the family: Transfer RNA (tRNA) molecules are approximately 80 nucleotides in length. Their secondary structure includes four short double-helical elements and three loops (D, anti-codon, and T loops). Lineage: Bacteria; Pseudomonadati; Pseudomonadota; Betaproteobacteria; Burkholderiales; Burkholderiaceae. The record is from RNAcentral. RNAcentral also lists the same sequence under 6 other names.